Molecule: ribosomal RNA, 253 nt
Filed under: uncultured bacterium
Lineage: Bacteria
Description: partial 16S ribosomal RNA
Rfam family: Bacterial small subunit ribosomal RNA
Source: RNAcentral
UACGAAGGGGGCUAGCGCUGCUCGGAAUCACGGGACGUAAAACGCACGUCGGCGGCUUUCUAAGUCAGGGGUGAAAUCCCGGAGCGCAACUCCGGAACUGCCUUUGAUACUGGGAGGCUCGAGUCCGGGAGAGGUGAGUGGAACUGCGAGUGUAGGGGUGAAAUUCGUAGAUAUUCGCAAGAACACCAGUGGCGAAGGCGGCUCACUGGCCCGGUACUGACGCUGAGGUGCGAAAGCGUGUCGAGCAAAAAGG